AAAGCAUCUUACAAUCCUGUUGCAGCACGGGAGGCUGCAUUUGGCUCUCUUGCCUGCGGCCACACGGAUGAAGGAGACGGGGCCCAGGGUGACAAAUCACAGCUGACGAAACUGAGCUUCGCAGAGGUCAGGGUCCUGGUGCGGAGCGCCAGCCCUGGCGUCCAGGAUUCUGGUUCAGCAUCUUCCGUGGGGAGCUCUAUGCCUCCGACAAG
This is a long non-coding RNA of Ailuropoda melanoleuca (giant panda), 212 nucleotides long. RefSeq lists it as uncharacterized. NCBI's taxonomy places the organism in Eukaryota, Metazoa, Chordata, Mammalia, Carnivora, Ursidae. The transcript is spliced from 3 exons. The record is from RefSeq and is a predicted model, not a curated record.